Molecule: non-coding RNA, 75 nt
Organism: Saccostrea cuccullata (small rock oyster)
Lineage: Eukaryota; Metazoa; Mollusca; Bivalvia; Ostreida; Ostreidae
Source: the annotation of a RefSeq genome assembly
GGCCAGAUAGCUUAGUUGGUUUUGAGCACCUGACCGAAGUUUCAGGGGGUCCGGGUUCGAAUCCCGGUCUGGUCC